CCUACGGGAGGCUGCAGUGAGGAAUAUUGGUCAAUGGACGAGAGUCUGAACCAGCCAAGUAGCGUGAAGGAUGACUGCCCUAUGGGUUGUAAACUUCUUUUAUAUGGGAAUAAAAUGUUCCACGUGUGGGAUUUUGUAUGUACCAUAUGAAUAAGGAUCGGCUAACUCCGUGCCAGCAGCCGCGGUAAUAGGGAGGAUCCGAGCGUUAGCCGGAUUUAUUGGGUUUAAAGGGAGCGUAGGUGGAUUGUUAAGUCAGUUGUGAAAGUUUGCGGCUCAACCGUAAAAUUGCAGUUGAAACUGGCAGUCUUGAGUACAGUAGAGGUGGGCGGAAUUCGUGGUGUAGCGGUGAAAUGCUUAGAUAUCACGAAGAACUCCGAUUGCGAAGGCAGUUCACUGGACUGCAACUGACACUGAGGCUCGAAAGUGUGGGUAUCAAACAGGAUUAGAUACCCUAGUAGUC
RNAcentral lists this ribosomal RNA (460 nucleotides) under uncultured bacterium. RNAcentral's name for it is "partial 16S ribosomal RNA". It matches the Rfam family "Bacterial small subunit ribosomal RNA", at positions 338 to 795 of the family's 1533-position model. The record is from RNAcentral.